UAUGUGAUCGUCUCUCGCAUAUCAAUAAGCGGAGGAAAAGAAACUAACAAGGAUUCCCCUAGUAACGGCGAGUGAAGCGGGAAGAGCUCAAAUUUGAAAUCUUAAAGGGUUUCCCUUUACGAAUUGUAGUUUAAAGAAGUGUUUUCUGUUGAGGUUUUGGUAAAAGUUCUUUGGAAUAGGACAUCAUAGAGGGUGAGAAUCCCGUAUUUGACCUUUACUUUCAACUUUGUGAUACACUUUCAAAGAGUCGGAUUGUUUGGGAAUGCAGUCCAAAAUGGGUGGUAAAUUUCAUCUAAAGCUAAAUAUUGGCGAGAGACCGAUAGCGAACAAGUACCGUGAGGGAAAGAUGAAAAGAACUUUGAAAAGAGAGUUAAACAGUACGUGAAAUUGUCAAAAGGGAAGCGUUUGACACCAGUGUUGUUUUUCUGAAAAUCAAUUAAAGAACUGUUUAUGCUAAGCUGUUUAGACUUUAUCAGCUAACUGUUUAGUUUUGAGCUUUUCUUUAAUGCACUUUUCAGUUAACAAGUCAACAUCAAUUUCUUUUGCUGUAAAAAAGCUUGAGGAAGGUGGCUUGAGAUUCGUCUUAAGUGUUUAUAGCCUCUUGCCUAUGCAGUCGGAGAGAUUGAGGUCUGCAGCGUAGAUCCUUCGGGGCUAAAUGCAUUUGUGCUAAGUUAUAGCAUUUUAUAGACAACUUGUUGACUAUGAUUUGUCUUGUAGCUUACUCGCUUAUGUUAUUUUACCUACGCUUAGGAUGUUGAGUAGCGACAUACGCAC
This 774-nucleotide ribosomal RNA is filed under the name uncultured Neocallimastigales. RNAcentral's name for it is "partial large subunit ribosomal RNA". It matches the Rfam family "Eukaryotic large subunit ribosomal RNA", at positions 24 to 649 of the family's 3401-position model. Lineage: Eukaryota; Fungi; Neocallimastigomycota; Neocallimastigomycetes; Neocallimastigales. The record is from RNAcentral.